ACACAACCCUUGGCCGCUGUGCUGACACGCUCUGCACCUUGCUCCUGCCCUCGCCUUUCACUCUUCUUAUCCCCCCGAUACCCCGAUCAUUCCUGACAGCUCCUGAGUGCCUGGAUUUCAUCAUCCAGCCCUGCAGGAUGCUCCCAUUUGUUCUGAGGAAGGCUGUCCCAGACAGAGAGGAGGACAUGGAGGUAGAUACGAAGAUUGAUAUGGAGGAGGACAUGGAAAUAGACGGAGAAGACUCUGGAGAGGAAGAGAUGGAUGUGGAUGAGGAAGAAGAGAUGGAUGUGGAUGUGGAAGAGUCCAUUGAGGACAUGGAUAUUGAUUAAAAAGGACCGAUGGACAUCAUGGACAGAGAUGCCACCCUUUUGUACAUACCUUUUACAUGUUGUUGUUGUCUUAUAGGUUUUAGGGCUUUUUGUCUUCUGUAAAUAUGUUUCAUCUAUUUUUGUUAGAUAGGUUCUUAUGUAUAUAUGUUCUAUUGAUUGUUGUUGUUGCAAAUAUUCUUACAAUGUAAAUGUGUUCUGUAUUUUUGCUGCUGUUUUUCUGUAAUAAACAAAUUUUAUUUUUCACA
This is a long non-coding RNA of Passer domesticus (house sparrow), 574 nucleotides long. RefSeq lists it as uncharacterized. The record is from RefSeq and is a predicted model, not a curated record. NCBI's taxonomy places the organism in Eukaryota, Metazoa, Chordata, Aves, Passeriformes, Passeridae. The transcript is spliced from 3 exons.